GAUGAACGCUAGCGGCAGGCUUAAUACAUGCAAGUCGAGGGGCAGCACGGUAGCAAUACUGGUGGCGACCGGCGCACGGGUGCGUAACACGUAUACAAUCUGCCUUUAACUGGGGGAUAACCUUUCGAAAGAGAGACUAAUACCCCAUAAUAGUAGAGAAGGCAUCUUCUUUAUUUGAAAGCUCCGGCGGUUAAAGAUGAGUAUGCGGAUGAUUAGCUAGAUGGUGAGGUAACGGCUCACCAUGGCGACGAUCAAUAGGGGAUCUGAGAGGACUACCCCCCACACUGGUACUGAGACACGGACCAGACUCCUACGGGAGGCAGCAGUAAGGAAUAUUGGACAAUGCUCGCAAGAGUGAUCCAGCCAUGCCGCGUGCAGGAAGACGGCCCUAUGGGUUGUAAACCGCUUUUG
Molecule: ribosomal RNA, 411 nt
Filed under: uncultured bacterium
Lineage: Bacteria
Description: bacterial SSU rRNA
Rfam family: Bacterial small subunit ribosomal RNA
Source: RNAcentral